AUGUUGACCAGCCUUGCGCAUUUCCAGGCUGCACUUACUUCAUUGUCUCUGUUUUAGAAAUGGCCUUUAUGCCUCCUGGUCUCAACAUAGAGCAAAAAGGACCAUCUGGACACCACAUAUGAGGAAAUCAGACAUCUCUAGGUUAAAUCAUGCCCAUAAGGACAAUUUCUUGUCAGAUAAGCUGCUGUGUACUUAGUCUGAUAACUAACAGAAUUACAAUAUGGUAAUUCUAACUGGAAAUCGUCCAUUUUCAUCCUCAGGUUUCCUCUUUUCUCCCCAUUGGUAAGCACCCUUUGAGUCCUACUCCUGUGCACUUGUACUCAAAGCCACCCCCAGCUCUGUUUCAAGCCGUGGCAGCUGUGAAACGUCUGGACAGCAGAGUGUUGUGCUGUUGGCUCACGCAUCAUCACGCAGUGGGGCAGAAGCACAUAAUUGUGUAAUGGAAUAAUUUGAUUUCCUCCGAUUUCUAGACACUUCACAAAAUAAACAAGGCAGUAAAAUGAAGCGUAAAGAGUAACUGGUGAGGUUUGAGUCUCACAUUGCUGUCACUUGCUAGCCUGGGUGACCUUCAGUAAAUCGCAAACUUUUUUUU
RNAcentral lists this long non-coding RNA (592 nucleotides) under Lynx pardinus (Iberian lynx). The record is from RNAcentral. Lineage: Eukaryota; Metazoa; Chordata; Mammalia; Carnivora; Felidae.